This 854-nucleotide long non-coding RNA is filed under the name Capsicum annuum. RNAcentral's name for it is "long non-coding RNA (CANN_LNC006822)". The record is from RNAcentral. Lineage: Eukaryota; Viridiplantae; Streptophyta; Magnoliopsida; Solanales; Solanaceae.
GCGUCGUGGUGCCUUUCCAAUUUUCAACCAUGGUGACAACAUUAUAGAUAUAGAUUCAUGCAAACCUAUGACUAAAACCUUGAAUGAUGAAAUUAGAAUGUGACCAUGAUGUUUAAUUGUUGUACAAUUAUGUUUGCAUGUACCAUGCCUAAAAUAUGAUUGAUUUAAUGCUUAAAUGAAGGAAAAGUGCCUAACUAGCAUGUUGUCAUGAAAUCCCCAUGUAUGUAUGUAAUACCUCGCAAAAUUCUCUCCUAGUCUAAGCCUUAGAGCGUGUUCAGUGAAGCGAAAAUCCGGUCCUAAAAGUUUGAGAGUUGUCUUCCUAAGUGUGAAAUACUUUGAACCGUGUAGAAUUUUCCUAAUAUUGACUUUUUGUCAUGUAGAGCAUUGAAUAAGCUUUCUGUCGAUAUCAAAUUCAUCCAAAUCUGAUACGCAAAAAAAGAGUUAGAGCCAUUUUAGUGAGAUAGUGUGCCACCUGGAACUUUAGUGUGUUGUGGAGCCAGCCAAAUUGGCAAUCAUCAAAAUCUAGUUAGCCUCCACGAUUAUGGCACAUCGCGCCAAGGCUUAAUUUUUGAAUUUUCACUUUUCAGUGCACCAACCAGCGCGUCGUGGUGCCUUUCCACUUUUCAACCAAGGUGACAACAUGAUUGCCACUGCAUCGUGCCAGGGAGUUCAGUUUGGGAAAAUUUUACUGAAAUUAAAUGAUCCAUCCAGGGUUAAAAGGGUCAACUUGCCACCCCUAUUUAAGCCUUUAAGACGUGAUUUAGCCACUUUUCACUCAAAAUAAGCUCUCUUCUCUCAAAAACCUCUCAAGAACAAGUUACGAUUUUCAUAGAAGAUCCAGUUCCAAGAAAGUU